UACGAAGGGUGCAAGCGUUAGUCGGAAUUACUGGGCGUAAAGCGUGCGUAGGCGGUUUCUUAAGUCCGUUGUGAAAGCCCUGGGCUCAACCUGGGAACUGCAGUGGAUACUGAGAGGCUAGAGUGUGUCAGAGGAUGGUGGAAUUCCCGGUGUAGCGGUGAAAUGCGUAGAGAUCGGGAGGAACAUCAGUGGCGAAGGCGGCCAACUGGCCCGAUACUGACGCUGAGGCGCGAAAGCGUGGGGAGCAAACAGG
RNAcentral lists this ribosomal RNA (253 nucleotides) under uncultured bacterium. RNAcentral's name for it is "partial 16S ribosomal RNA". It matches the Rfam family "Bacterial small subunit ribosomal RNA", at positions 524 to 776 of the family's 1533-position model. The record is from RNAcentral.